This 351-nucleotide unclassified non-coding RNA is filed under the name soil metagenome. RNAcentral describes it as "partial contains 5.8S ribosomal RNA, internal transcribed spacer 2, and large subunit ribosomal RNA". The stretch from base 1 to 120 matches the Rfam family "5.8S ribosomal RNA", at positions 35 to 154 of the family's 154-position model. The record is from RNAcentral.
GAUGAAGAACGCAGCGAAACGCGAUAUGUAAUGUGAAUUGCAGAAUUCAGUGAAUCAUCGAAUCUUUGAACGCACAUGGCGCCUUCCAGUAUCCUGGGAGGCAUGCCUGUCCGAGCGUCGUUUCAACCCUCGAGCCCCCGUGGCCCGGCGUUGGGGAUCUGCCACGGCAGGCCCCUAAAACCAGUGGCGGACCCGAAGGCCCUCUCCUUUGCGCAGUAGCAUCAGCCUCGCAUUGGGAUCCCUCGGCGUCCUGCCUCUAAGCCCCCCACAAGUCCGCUCCGGCGGCACCAAGGUUGACCUCGGAUCAGGUAGGAAUACCCGCUGAACUUAAGCAUAUCAAUAAGCGGAGGA